Molecule: ribosomal RNA, 126 nt
Filed under: uncultured Thermovirga sp.
Lineage: Bacteria; Thermotogati; Synergistota; Synergistia; Synergistales; Thermovirgaceae
Description: partial 16S ribosomal RNA
Rfam family: Bacterial small subunit ribosomal RNA
Source: RNAcentral
CGACCUUGAGCGGAUCCCUCAAAGCCGGUCUCAGUUCGGAUUGCAGUCUGCAACUCGACUGCAUGAAGUUGGAAUCGCUAGUAAUCGUGGAUCAGCCAAGCCGCGGUGAAUACGUUCCCGGGCCUU